CGUGAGAUGUUGGGUUAAGUCCCGCAACGAGCGCAACCCUUAUUGUCAGUUGCCAUCAUUAAGUUGGGCACUCUGGCGAGACUGCCGGUGACAAACCGGAGGAAGGUGGGGAUGACGUCAAAUCAUCAUGCCCCUUAUGACCUGGGCUACACACGUGCUACAAUGGACGGUACAACGAGUCGCUAACUCGCGAGGGCAAGCUAAUCUCUUAAAGCCGUUCCCAUUCGGAUUGCAGGCUGCAACUCGCCUGCA
Molecule: ribosomal RNA, 252 nt
Filed under: uncultured bacterium
Lineage: Bacteria
Description: partial 16S ribosomal RNA
Rfam family: Bacterial small subunit ribosomal RNA
Source: RNAcentral